AAUUAAUGAGCUUGCUUAAGCUUUUGUUUUGAAAACUUAAGAAAGAAAAUAUGUAUUUCUAUUAAUUU
Molecule: transfer RNA, 68 nt
Filed under: Hydropsyche trifora
Lineage: Eukaryota; Metazoa; Arthropoda; Insecta; Trichoptera; Hydropsychidae
Description: tRNA-Ser
Source: RNAcentral